RNAcentral lists this long non-coding RNA (987 nucleotides) under Canis lupus familiaris (dog). RNAcentral's name for it is "lncRNA (ENSCAFG00030011482.1)". Lineage: Eukaryota; Metazoa; Chordata; Mammalia; Carnivora; Canidae. The record is from RNAcentral.
UUUGAGAUUUGAUCUUCCUACUAAGAUUCUAUAACUUUAAAUUUUUUCUAAAAAAAAUUUAGAAAUAUUUUAUUUUAUUUGUUCUAGAGAGAGACAGAGCAGGGGGGAGGGGCAAAAGGAGAGGGAGAGAGAGAAUCUCUAGCAGACUCCUUGCUGAGGGCAAAACCCUAUGUUAGGCUCCAUCUAGUGACCCUGGGAUCAUGACUUGAGCUGAAGUCAAGAGCUAGAUAUUUAACUGACUAAGCCACCCAGGUGCCACAUCCAUAACUCUUUCUUUCUGCUUUAUCUCACAUGGCUUUGGGAUCUUGUUCAUCAAUUUGGAAAGUCUAGAUUAUAAGUGUCUCCCAUUUUAGUAAAAUUGGAAUUGUGAGAGUUUGAAAAUUUUUCUAAUUGAGUUUUAAUUAUUUUCAAGGAAACAAGUAGUUGAAUCCUGAUUCAUACAGCUAUGUUAAUACCAGAGAAAAAAGAGGCCAUCACUAGUUCAGGAACAUGAAAAAUAAUCAUUACUCCAGGAUCUCUACUGUCAUUUCAAGAUUAACUUAUAUUGUUCUUGUGCUGUGAUAAACUAUCAACUUUUUUCCCAAAGUACACCACUGCAUUCCCGCAUAGGCUACGUUUCCCUUGGGAACAAUGGGUCCUGGUUGCUGUGGGUUUGGUGCAACAUGGCAGUCCGCAUCUCACACCAGAUCCUCUGGGAAAGAAAAGAACAGUGAACAGUUCUAAUUUUUUUCUCUUUGAAAAGGCUUGUGUUUGAUUUGAACUAUAUUUGUAUGAAUAUAAUAAACACAAGUUGAUGUGAAAAGAUAUUUCUCUUUUAUAGAAUGUUCAUGUUCAUAGGGUAAGUUGCAGAUCAAAAUAUGCAGGUGAAUUAAUUUGUUAUUUAUGAUUGGGCAUAAUUUUAGUUCUUUGGGAAUAUUGAUUUUUUAAAUUUGCAACCAUUUAAACAUGUAUUUGUGUCACCAAUCAUAUGCAUAAUUUAAAACACUG